Non-coding RNA from Oenanthe melanoleuca, 414 nucleotides. The record is from the annotation of a RefSeq genome assembly. Lineage: Eukaryota; Metazoa; Chordata; Aves; Passeriformes; Muscicapidae.
AUGCGGCGGUGUCGGGGCGCGGGGCUGGCGGCGCUGGCCGCGCUGCUGCUCGUUGCCGUGGCCAGAGCACAAGUACAACAGGAGCCGACACUGGAGACCACCGAGGGCACUGGAAUAAAUAUCAGCUGCUCACAUUCCGAAAUACAGACCAACGAUUGGAUCCAAUGGUACCGUCAGAUCCCGAGCAGAGGACCCGAAUUCCUCGUGAGCGCUCACAAAGGGGUCAGAGAGCUGCCGGACAUCGCAGGAAAGCUGUCGGUGUCGGCAGAUCGGCGAUGGAGCGCGCUGUGGCUCGGGCGGCCCCGGCGCGGGGACGCGGCCGUGUAUUACUGCGCGCUGGGCCACGGGCAGAGGAGCCGGGGCUGCGGCCGGGUUUUUAAAACCACCUUGGAUGUGAGUUCAGCAUCUGCCUGA